Molecule: ribosomal RNA, 229 nt
Filed under: uncultured bacterium
Lineage: Bacteria
Description: partial 16S ribosomal RNA
Rfam family: Bacterial small subunit ribosomal RNA
Source: RNAcentral
UGCGCAGGUGGGCUUGUAAGUCAGUGGUGAAAUACUGCCGCUUAACGGUAGAACUGCCAUUGAUACUGCGGGUCUUGAGUAUGGUUGAGGUAGGCGGAAUGUGUUGUGUAGCGGUGAAAUGCAUAGAUAUGACACAGAACGCCGAUUGCGAAGGCAGCUUACUAAGCCAUUACUGACACUGAGGCACGAAAGCGUGCGGAGCGAACAGGAUUAGAUACCCUGGUAGUCC